This 63-nucleotide transfer RNA is filed under the name Dipodomys ordii (Ord's kangaroo rat). It matches the Rfam family "tRNA", at positions 1 to 62 of the family's 71-position model. From Rfam's summary of the family: Transfer RNA (tRNA) molecules are approximately 80 nucleotides in length. Their secondary structure includes four short double-helical elements and three loops (D, anti-codon, and T loops). Further hydrogen bonds mediate the characteristic L-shaped molecular structure. tRNAs have two regions of fundamental functional importance: the anti-codon, which is responsible for specific mRNA codon recognition, and the 3' end, to which the tRNAs corresponding amino acid is attached (by aminoacyl-tRNA synthetases). tRNAs cope with the degeneracy of the genetic code in two manners: having more than one tRNA (with a specific anti-codon) for a particular amino acid; and 'wobble' base-pairing, i.e. permitting non-standard base-pairing at the 3rd anti-codon position. Lineage: Eukaryota; Metazoa; Chordata; Mammalia; Rodentia; Heteromyidae. The record is from Rfam by way of RNAcentral.
GGGAAUUUGGCUCAGUGGUAGAGUGCUUGCCUAGCAUGCAUGAAGCCCUAAGUUCAAUUCCUC